RNAcentral lists this ribosomal RNA (523 nucleotides) under Apoplania valdiviana. RNAcentral's name for it is "bacterial SSU rRNA". It matches the Rfam family "Eukaryotic small subunit ribosomal RNA", at positions 1197 to 1717 of the family's 1831-position model. Lineage: Eukaryota; Metazoa; Arthropoda; Insecta; Lepidoptera; Neopseustidae. The record is from RNAcentral.
GACUCAACACGGGAAACCUCACCAGGCCCGGACACCGGAAGGAUUGACAGAUUAAUAGCUCUUUCUUGAUUCGGUGGGUGGUGGUGCAUGGCCGUUCUUAGUUGGUGGAGCGAUUUGUCUGGUUAAUUCCGGUAACGAACGAGACUCUGGCCUACUAAAUAGGCGUCGUCAUUGAUUCCGAGACUAGUUUUCGGCGCUCGCUGACGACGCAACAAAUGUCUUCUUAGAGGGACCGGCGACUUUGAGUCACGAGAAUGAGCAAUAACAGGUCUGUGAUGCCCUUAGAUGUCCUGGGCCGCACGCGCGCUACACUGAAAGAAUCAACAUGUCAUCCCGGGCCGAGCGGCCAGGGUAACCCGUUGAAACUCUUUCGUGCUGGGGAUUGGGGUUUGUAACUAUCCCCCAUGAACGAGGAAUUCCUAGUAAGCGCGAGUCAUGAGCUCGCGUUAAUUACGUCCCUGCCCUUUGUACACACCGCCCGUCGCUACUACCGAUCGAAUGAUUUAGUGAGGUCUUCGGACCG